Molecule: ribosomal RNA, 555 nt
Filed under: Triticum aestivum (bread wheat)
Lineage: Eukaryota; Viridiplantae; Streptophyta; Magnoliopsida; Poales; Poaceae
Description: partial small subunit ribosomal RNA
Source: RNAcentral
CUCCUCUGGCGCUGCAUCACCCGCGCGCGGCGGCUGGCGCCGGAGCAGGAGACCGUGUGCCGCGCCGCCAUCGACAACCGCGGGCGGCUGCGGCCGGAGCUGCCCAGGGAGUACUUCGGCAACGCCAUCUACGCCAUCGGGACGGAGCCGGCGCGCGCCGCGGACCUCCUGGAGCGCGGGCACGGGUGGGCGGCGGCGGCCGUGGGGCGGGCCGUGGCGGCGCACACGGACGCGGCCAUCAGGGCGCGCGUGGCGGCGUGGACGGCCAAGCCCAUGGUGUACACGCAUCGCUUCUUCGACCCGACCGGGACCAUGAUGGGCAGCUCGCCGCGGUUCGACAUGUACGGCUGCGACUUCGGGUGGGGGAGGCCCGUGGCGGCGCGCAGCGGCCGGGCCAACAAGUUCGACGGCAAGACGUCGCUGUACCCCGGCCGGGAGGGCGGCGGGAGCAUCGACGCAGAGCUCACGCUCACGCCCGACAACAUGGCGGCGCUCGAGGAGAUUGAGGAGCUAUGGGCUGCCGUGACCCCGGACACGCCGGAGAAGAAGCCUUGA